Molecule: ribosomal RNA, 460 nt
Filed under: uncultured Treponema sp.
Lineage: Bacteria; Pseudomonadati; Spirochaetota; Spirochaetia; Treponematales; Treponemataceae
Description: partial 16S ribosomal RNA
Rfam family: Bacterial small subunit ribosomal RNA
Source: RNAcentral
ACGGGAGGCAGCAGCUAAGAAUAUUCCGCAAUGGGGGGAACCCUGACGGAGCGACGCCGCGUGGAUGAUGAAGGCCGGAAGGUUGUAAAAUCCUUUUAUGACUGAGGAAUAAGUAUUCUGAGAGAAACGGAGUAUGGUGACUGUAGGUCAUGAAUAAGCAACGGCUAAUUACGUGCCAGCAGCCGCGGUAACACGUAAGUUGCGAGCGUUGUUCGGAAUUAUUGGGCGUAAAGGGCAUGUAGGCGGUUUUGCAAGCUUGGUGUGAAAUCUCGGAGCUCAACUCCGAAAUUGCGUUGAGAACUGCAUGACUGGAGUCACUGAGGGGCAAUCAGAAUUCCUGGUGUAGGGGUGAAAUCUGUAGAUAUCAGGAAGAAUACCAAUGGCGAAGGCAGGUUACCAGCAGAUGACUGACGCUGAGGUGCGAAGGUGCGGGGAGCAAACAGGAUUAGAUACCCUGGUA